GACGAACGCUGGCGGCGUGCUUAACACAUGCAAGUCGAACGGAAAGGCCUGCUUUCCCUUGUGGAUUGCGGGUACUCGAGUGGCGAACGGGUGAGUAACACGUGAGUGAUCUGCCCCCAACUUGGGUAUAAGCCUGGGAAACUGGGUCUAAUUCCCGAUAGGACUGCAGGGUGGUGCCUGUGGUGGAAAACGAUUUUCUAGUGGUUGGGGAUGAGCUCGCGGCCUAUCAGCUUGUUGGUGGGGUAAUGGCCUACCAAGGCGGCGACGGGUAGCCGGCCUGAGAGGGUGGACGGCCACAUUGAGACUGGGAUACGGCCCAGACUCCUACGGGAGGCAGCAGUGGGGAAUAUUGCACAAUGGGCGGAAGCCUGAUGCAGCGACGCCGCGUGGGGGAUGACGGCCUUCGGGUUGUAAACUCCUUUCGACCGAGAGGAAGCCACCUGGUUGGAAGGGUGGUGACGGUAGUGGUAGAAGAAGCACCGGCUAACUACGUG
RNAcentral lists this ribosomal RNA (494 nucleotides) under uncultured bacterium. Its description in RNAcentral is "partial 16S ribosomal RNA". It matches the Rfam family "Bacterial small subunit ribosomal RNA", at positions 28 to 507 of the family's 1533-position model. The record is from RNAcentral.